Molecule: ribosomal RNA, 484 nt
Filed under: uncultured bacterium
Lineage: Bacteria
Description: partial 16S ribosomal RNA
Rfam family: Bacterial small subunit ribosomal RNA
Source: RNAcentral
AUUGAACGCUGGCGGCAGGCCUAACACAUGCAAGUCGAGCGGAUGAAGGGAGCUUGCUCCUGGAUUCAGCGGCGGACGGGUGAGUAAUGCCUAGGAAUCUGCCUGGUAGUGGGGGAUAACGUCCGUAAACGGGCGCUAAUACCGCAUACGUCCUGAGGGAGAAAGUGGGGGAUCUUCGGACCUCACGCUAUCAGAUGAGCCUAGGUCGGAUUAGCUAGUUGGUGGGGUAAAGGCUUACCAAGGCGACGAUCCGUAACUGGUCUGAGAGGAUGAUCAGUCACACUGGAACUGAGACACGGUCCAGACUCCUACGGGAGGCAGCAGUGGGGAAUAUUGGACAAUGGGCGAAAGCCUGAUCCAGCAAUGCCGCGUGUGUGAAGAAGGUCUUCGGAUUGUAAAGCACUUUAAGUUGGGAGGAAGGGCAGUAAGUUAAUACCUUGCUGUUUUGACGUUACCAACAGAAUAAGCACCGGCUAACUUCGUG